Molecule: long non-coding RNA, 4056 nt
Organism: Pan troglodytes (chimpanzee)
Lineage: Eukaryota; Metazoa; Chordata; Mammalia; Primates; Hominidae
Exons: 2
Source: RefSeq, a predicted model, not a curated record
GAUAACCUGUUAGGUUUCUCUCCCAUCCGGUGGAAGCGGGUUUCUUUCACGUUUUGGGUCCAUGCUGCGUUUGUGCGCUGUAACGCUUACCACCAGGGUCUGCAGUUUCAGUCCUGAAGUUAGUGAGACUACGAAACCACCAGGAGGAACGAGCAAGUCCAGACGCGCUACUUUAAGAACUGUAACACUUCCGGAGUAAGUCUGUAGCUUCGUUCCUGAACGAGCGAGACCACCGAACCCACCGGACGGAAAAAACUCUGUGAACACAUCCGAAUAGGGGAAGGAGCAAACUCCAGACACGCGGUUUUAAGAACUACUCUGGAUCCUGGAAACCUGCCCUGGAGAGAAGCAGUUUGACAGCCCAGAAGCAAAGAGACCAGAAGAGUCCACGGCACCCAGAGACCCCUACGCUGACAGCUGGGCCUGGAGGAGCUGAGGACAGGAGAAAGAGACAGAGCUCAGAAAGGAAGUGCUCCCUGGAGAAUGGGAGAGUGUCCUGUGAACACAGAGCUGGUCGGCCCGGGACCCAGAGCCACGUGGAGCCACGCAGGCCUCAUGCUGCCUGCGUACCACCCCCUCCACCAUGUUUUCCACAAAGGGGAAUCUCAUCCCCAGCCGGGACCUGCCCUGGAGUCAGCAUGUGCCACCCCUCCCGGUGAGUCACCUGCCAGUGCCCACUCCUCCUCCUUCUCCUUCCUGCUCUAUCCCAAAACCACAGAGCACCUUGGGCUUUCACAGAGCAGCAGGAGAGAGGGGUCAGGCUGUCCUCAGCCUAAGGUACAGCAAGGGCAUCCAACCCUGCAGAAGCAGGGCCACAGGGAGGCUCCCAAGAGAUGACCCAAGAUGUGCUCUCAGAAAGCUACAACAAAUCCAGACUGCACCUGGGCUCGGGGCCAAAAUGCCCUGGGCCUGGGGAUGCCCAAGAGGGUCUCCUUGCCCCCCACCAUAAUCACCCACAUCACUCCACUUCCUCCUAACCCCCUACUUCCUCCCAAUCCCCGCAGGGGCUCCUUGGGCAACACUUCCCACAAAGGGACAAAAAGGGUCAGAAAGACACAAAGUUCUGAAAAUGUCAGACAAGUCCCUGGAUCCAGCUAUGCCUGAAGCAAGCUGCAGACCUAGACCGCCCAGAUAUUUGAGCCAAUCAUUUUUUUCCCUUAAACCAGUUUGAACUAAGUUUCUAUUGUCUGCAACCGAAGGAGUCCUUGAAUCCACAUUCAUUCAUGUCUUUAGUAAUUCAUUUCACUACUUACGGAGUUCCUGUUAGGGACGUACUAGGGGCAGAGAGAUGACUAAGCUACACGUCUGUCCUCAAGGAGCAGAUUCUAAUAGGGAAGGGGGACAUGCAGGUAGAUCACUGCAGUUUGGUAUAGUAUACUAUUUAUGAUAUGGUCAGGGCGAAUUGGAGGCACCUCAGAGGCAUGAUAACCCCAAAGAUGAUCCCUGAAAAGUCAUGAGCAGCUCCCCAGGUAGCCGUGCUGGGAAAGGUAGCCCUUUCCUGAACUCCAGAGACCGGUCCUCCUGACACUGCCUGUCUGCCUUUCAGCCAGAUCUCCCUGGAAUUCUAGAAAAUGAGCCCAAAGUGUGGGGUUCUGGUCCCAGCUCUGACACUUGGUUAUGCAAUCUUAACUAGGCAACUUCUCUGAGCUCAGUGUUCCUACCUAUAAAAGAAAAGCUUUGUGGAUGCUAGUGGAACUUUAUCAGUACUUGAAGCUUUCAGGGACUGUAUCCUUAAGGUUUAACCAAUUCACAGCCACACAGUUCACACUGAAAUGCACAAAGUGACUGUGGCAGAAACUGCUAGUUGUUGUCCACUUACACCCAUUUUCUCCCUUUUUAAAAAAGAGACAGGGUCCCGCUCUGUCACCCAGGCUGGAGUGGUACCAUCAUAGUUCAGUGGUGCAAUCAGAACCCACUGCACCCUUGUAACUCCUGGGCUCAAGUGAUCCUCCUGCCUCAGCCUCCCGAGUAACAGGGACUACAGGUGCUGCCAGCACACCCAGCUCUCCCCUUCUUCCAUAGCAUUUUUAGUUAGGCACAUGGCCACUCAGCUAACGACUGCAGAUCCCAGCCUUACUUGCAGCUGAGUGUGGCCAUGCAAUGUGUACACUGAUGUGUACAGCUUCUGGGUCAUGCCCUGAAAGAGAGAAGCAUGCCCUCCCCUCCCUUUCCCCUCCCCCUUCCCACUGGCUGGAACAUAGAUGCGGUGUGUGUGGCGAUCAUACUGCCAAAGGCAACACCCUGAGGACGGCAGAGCAGCAGACAGAAGAACCCUGAGGGACUGUAGUAUCAGCCCUGGAUAUACCCAGAUGGUCACAUGGGUGAGAAAUAAACAUCUCUUCCAGCAUAAGUCAUUGCUAUUUUGGGCCUUUCUUACAGCAUCUGAACUAACUAAGGAGCCAUCCCACCCUUACUUUCCCUCCUUCUCUUCCCCGUCUCCCUACCCGAUGAGCAUUGCCACUGCUCAGAGCCACAAAAGGAAACCACAUCUAAAAUAGGUAUCUCAAAAUACGAACAGGAGACUAUCUCAUCAGAGUCACCGAGUGAUGCCUGAGCCCAGCUUUGGACAAAUGUCAAGGGUAGAAGUAAGCAGGCUUGGGGACUGUUUGUAUUGAGGGAGGGGCUGAAGGUGUCAAGAGGGCACUGAAGGCUUGAGCAAUGGGCAAACAUGGACACACAUAACAAGGAGACCUGGAGAUGAAGCACGUGGAGGGGGAAGAUCAGUUCCUACUGAGCUCGACUAUGGAUCAUCCACACCAAAAUGUCCUAUGGACUCCCAGACACACUGAGCUGCAGCUCAGAACAGAGGGACAGGGCAGUCAUUCGUGCAGUGGUGGUGACAGAACCAAAGGUGGGGUCACUGAGGGAGAUGAUGCCAUGAGAACAAAUUCUGGGGAAACUGCAGAAAUUAAUGAUCAAGUAUCAGAACAGGGAACCUUUCUCUGCCCCUCCCCCCACCCACCGCAUACACACAAUCUCUGUUUGCCCUCCCCUGUGAUGGGCACCCAUGGCCUGCAUGGGCUAUCCACUUGCUUUUGGACAGCGUUCAUCAGUGAGAAGCUCUACCUUAUACUUAGCCCAAAUUUGUCUCCCAAUACAGCCCACAACAGUCCUCAUGUGACCCCUUGGACCACGCAGAAUGAGUCUGCCCCCUUCCUUAUCAAAGCCCUGCAAGUAUUUGAUCUUCCUUGACGAAGUCACCAUUGAGCAGCCAUGUCAGACCAUUCACCAAAAUAACCCAAAAUAACAGACUAUCAAAUCUGUAGCCAACCAUCAGAAGUCACUCACACUCAUUGCUGCUAAUCCACACCUCUGCCAUCCUCUUCUGAUGGAGUUCAGAAUGGGGAGGAGUUUUACAGGAUAUUUCAUUUGUUACUAUUCCAUUUCACCCAGUUAAACUGAGUCCAUUCCUCCAACUGCCACAACAUUUUUUUCAUUGUUGUAAAAUAUAUGUAACAUGAAGUUGGCCAUUUUAUCCAGGUUUAAGUGUAUAAGUCGGCAGCAUUAACUACAUUUACAAUGCUGUGUAACCCUGUCGUGAUCUUUUGAAGUACUCUUUUGACUGUUCCUGGUGCAUAGACAAUGCUCAAUAAUUUGUUGGUGGAUUAAAAAAAGAAUGAAUGAAUAUCAUCUGAAAAGGUUACUCUCCUCUCUCUGCUGGUGUCUGGGUGUCAUCAAGGUCCUCAGGGAGAGGACAGGAAUAGGAAAGCCCACAGCACCAUCUGUCCCUGGAUGAUCAAUGUCCAUCCACCAUUCAGUACACCGGGGUUAGGAGUGUUCCUACCUGUGCUGCUACCCAGCUCCCAUCUACCCAUCUCAUCCCCAGGGCUGUCAUGAGAAGCUUCACUGCUUCUGGCUGGGGACCAAUCAACUGGAGAAGAACAAGAAAAGAAGUGCAUUUUCAAAACCCCAGUGAAGCCAUGCAAGUGCCUACUAGUGGGCUCUUCUUCAAGUGCUCAUUGGUUCCAGGACUUUGUCAGGGAUUAAGAACAAGAUUAUUGAUCUGUUGUUCCCAUAAUCUACCAUCUUCCCCAUAAAACUGGUUAUUUCCCUGUC